Molecule: transfer RNA, 74 nt
Filed under: Ololygon sp. KAV2
Lineage: Eukaryota; Metazoa; Chordata; Amphibia; Anura; Hylidae
Description: tRNA-Leu
Rfam family: tRNA
About the family: Transfer RNA (tRNA) molecules are approximately 80 nucleotides in length. Their secondary structure includes four short double-helical elements and three loops (D, anti-codon, and T loops). Further hydrogen bonds mediate the characteristic L-shaped molecular structure. tRNAs have two regions of fundamental functional importance: the anti-codon, which is responsible for specific mRNA codon recognition, and the 3' end, to which the tRNAs corresponding amino acid is attached (by aminoacyl-tRNA synthetases). tRNAs cope with the degeneracy of the genetic code in two manners: having more than one tRNA (with a specific anti-codon) for a particular amino acid; and 'wobble' base-pairing, i.e. permitting non-standard base-pairing at the 3rd anti-codon position.
Source: RNAcentral
AGUUAACGUAGCAAAACCCGGAUUUGCAAAAGACCUAAACCCUUUCUAUAGAGGUUCAAAUCCUCUCGCUAACU